RNAcentral lists this ribosomal RNA (426 nucleotides) under uncultured Moraxellaceae bacterium. Its description in RNAcentral is "bacterial SSU rRNA". It matches the Rfam family "Bacterial small subunit ribosomal RNA", at positions 356 to 774 of the family's 1533-position model. Lineage: Bacteria; Pseudomonadati; Pseudomonadota; Gammaproteobacteria; Moraxellales; Moraxellaceae. The record is from RNAcentral.
GGGGAAUAUUGGACAAUGGGCGCAAGCCUGAUCCAGCCAUGCCGCGUGGGUGAAGAAGGCCUUCGGGUUGUAAAGCCCUUUUGUUGGGAAAGAAAAGCAGCCGGCCAAUACCCGGUUGUUCUGACGGUACCCAAAGAAUAAGCACCGGCUAACUCUGUGCCAGCAGCCGCGGUAAUACAGAGGGUGCGAGCGUUAAUCGGAUUUACUGGGCGUAAAGCGUGCGUAGGCGGCUUUUUAAGUCGGAUGUGAAAUCCCCGAGCUUAACUUGGGAAUUGCAUUCGAUACUGGGAAGCUAGAGUAUGGGAGAGGAUGGUAGAAUUCCAGGUGUAGCGGUGAAAUGCGUAGAGAUCUGGAGGAAUACCGAUGGCGAAGGCAGCCAUCUGGCCUAAUACUGACGCUGAGGUACGAAAGCAUGGGGAGCAAACA